This 397-nucleotide ribosomal RNA is filed under the name uncultured microorganism. RNAcentral describes it as "bacterial SSU rRNA". It matches the Rfam family "Archaeal small subunit ribosomal RNA", at positions 330 to 731 of the family's 1478-position model. The record is from RNAcentral.
GCGCACCAGGCGCGAAUACUUUACAAUGUGCGAAAGCACGAUAAGGGAACUCUGAGUGCCUCCUAAGGAGGCUGUUCAGGUGUCUAAAAAGCACCUGGAGUAAGGGCUGGGUAAGACCGGUGCCAGCCGCCGCGGUAACACCGGCAGCCCAGGUGGUAGCCACUUUUAUUGGGUCUAAAGCGUCCGUAGCCGGUUGAGUAAGUUCCUUGGGAAAUUUGGCUGCUCAACAGUCAAGCUUCCAGGGAAUACUGCUCGACUUGGGACUGGGAGAGGGUCAGAGGUACUCCAGGGGUAGGGGUGAAAUCCAUUAAUCCCUGGGGGACCACCGGUAGCGAAGGCGUCUGACCAGACCAGGUCCGACGGUGAGGGACGAAGGCUAGGGGCGCGAACCGGAUUA